This 481-nucleotide ribosomal RNA is filed under the name uncultured bacterium. Its description in RNAcentral is "bacterial SSU rRNA". It matches the Rfam family "Bacterial small subunit ribosomal RNA", at positions 29 to 507 of the family's 1533-position model. The record is from RNAcentral.
AUGAACGCUAGCGGCAGGCUUAACACAUGCAAGUCGAGGGGGUAGAAGGGUAGCUUGCUCCUUUGAGACCGGCGCACGGGUGCGUAACGCGUAUGCAAUCUACCUUUUGCAGAGGGAUAGCCCAGAGAAAUUUGGAUUAAUACCUCAUAGUAUGUGAGAAUGGCAUCAUUUCACAUUAAAGUCACAACGGCAAAAGAUGAGCAUGCGUCCCAUUAGCUUGUUGGUAAGGUAACGGCUUACCAAGGCAACGAUGGGUAGGGGUCCUGAGAGGGAGAUCCCCCACACUGGUACUGAGACACGGACCAGACUCCUACGGGAGGCAGCAGUGAGGAAUAUUGGACAAUGGGCGCAAGCCUGAUCCAGCCAUGCCGCGUGCAGGAUGACGGUCCUAUGGAUUGUAAACUGCUUUUGUACAGGAAGAAACACUGGUUCGUGAACCAGCUUGACGGUACUGUAAGAAUAAGGAUCGGCUAACUCCGUG